UACGAAGGGGGGCUAGCGUUGUUUCGGAAUUACUGGGCGUAAAAGCGCGUGUAGGCGGGUCUUUAAGUCAGGGGUGAAAUGCCAAGGCUCAACCUUGGAACUGCCUUUGAUACUGGAGACCUUGAGUCCGGGAGAGGUGAGUGGAAUUGCGAGUGUAGAGGUGAAAUUCGUAGAUAUUCGCAAGAACACCAGUGGCGAAGGCGGCUCACUGGCCCGAUACUGACGCUGAGGCACGGAAAGCGUGGGGAGCAAACAGG
Molecule: ribosomal RNA, 257 nt
Filed under: uncultured bacterium
Lineage: Bacteria
Description: partial 16S ribosomal RNA
Rfam family: Bacterial small subunit ribosomal RNA
Source: RNAcentral